Molecule: long non-coding RNA, 2006 nt
Filed under: Nicotiana benthamiana
Lineage: Eukaryota; Viridiplantae; Streptophyta; Magnoliopsida; Solanales; Solanaceae
Description: long non-coding RNA (NBEN_LNC017798)
Source: RNAcentral
GAGUUCAUUUCAAAACUAAAAACAAUGCAAAAGAAAACCAUCUAGUAAAAAUAAAAUGUGAUGCAUGGUGCUUUUGUUUAGCCUUGCUACCCCGAAUCUUUCCAGGCGCUAGUGGUUCUGAUUGACCAAUUGCUGAGGCGUUCUCCUCGGUUCACAACUUGUGUAGAAGGGCCUUCCUCCCCUUCCUGAUUGAAAGGAGUUUAGGACUCAGGGAGUCCAGUCCAUAUACAUGAGCAACAAUGUCAAGUUUUGCCAUAUUUUCUAAACCAUAAUUCAACAUACAAGGGGACUAGGGAUGGGGAUUUCAUGUAAGAACAUAGAUAGUGAAAUUAACUUGCAGAGAAUUACAGUACAGAAAUAGUAAUGCAUAAACACAUAAGGGAGAGGCAAAAAUCAAAUGAAAAAGACAAACCAGUUGCAAGAAAGUAAGAAAAGAGAAACAGGAUUCUUUCAAGCAAAGCCACAGUCAGAGAAGAUAACUUUGAGCUUAUGAGUUCAGAGAACUCGAAUUCUUUUAAAAAUCUAAGUGUAUUUGAGAGAAGAAACAGUGAUUUGUUUGUUUUUCGUUUUUUUAAGAGGAGACGUACAUGUAUUUAUUGCCUUUUGAAAAUGAGUAAAAGUGAGGUAAUAAGCCACAUACAUGGAAACAAUCACUAAUCAGAAUCAAUUACACAAGUGAUUGCCCUUAAUUAAGGGAUCACCUGUUAAGGGGCAGUGAUAGGUUGAAAAAUAAGGAAAGAAAUCAAUUUAAGAGACAGACUAAUUAUUUCCAUAAAAGAAGCAGCAAAAUAAUUGAGCAUGUGAUUAAGGCCAAGUACAGGAACAUACUUAUAUUGGGAAAGGAUUCAACCAGGUAAAUAUUACAGGAAAGGAAAGGAAUCAAUUAGUUCUAAACAUGCGAGUGAAAUCAGAAUCUCUCAAAGGAAAAAGUUUGAAAUCAGUCAUAGAUUUUAAGAUCCAUCAAAGAAGGAAACCUCGGUAUAUAAAUAGAGUGCACAAAACUAGACAUGUGAGGCCAAACUAAUGGCAAAAAGGAAGUAGCAUACAGUAGUGGCACAAAAGAAAAUACUUGCAGAAUGAGAGUCAUAUAGUUCAAGUUUCAGUGACUUAGUAGUAGAGAAAGGAUAAAGUAUUUAGAAGCAUGCAAAGAGCCAAGUGAAAAAACCCUCUUGAAAAACAUAGUCGAGUUUGACAGAUAGUACGAAAGCAGAGUCAAAAGAAUCACACAAAAAGACGUUGAAACCUUCAAAUAAAGUAGAACAGUUUCAAAUAGGAUAAUUUCACAAGAAAACUUCAGGAACUUGAAUAAACCCCAAAGAAACUAGGGUUUUUCGAAAUCAAUCGAGUUUAGAGGCGACAAACAAGCAAACCAAACAAACAGUCUCACAAGCUGAAAUAAACCCCCAAAGUUAGGGUUUUCAACACAAAUAAGGUAUAAACGAAGUAAAUCAAACGAAUAUUAACAAAUAGACUUAGAAACUCAAACAAAUACCCAAAAAAUUAGGGUUUUCAACACCAAUCACACAUAGAGAUGAUAAGCAAAUGAAUCGAACAAAAUAUUAACAAACAGACUCAGAAACUCUAGUUUGAAAUCAAAAGAUUUUUGAAAAGGAAAUUUGGAAAAAAUGCUUAAAACAUCAAAUAUAGCACAGAUCUAGACAAAUAGAUGAAGAAGGAACCUCGAAGCUUAGGUUUGAGAGGAACCCUAGAGUGAGAAAGGCUUUGAAAAGGUCCGAUCUUAGUUGAUAAGGUCGAAAUAAGACUCAGGAGGCAAGGAUACACCAGAGCAAGGCCGGAGAUGGUUGGAAACCUCAAAUCGGCGAAGGCGGGUGUGAAGACCCUCGAAGUCUGGCCUCGAACCUUCAGGCAUCAGACACAUGAGAGCAGUAUGGGGUGAGUAUAGGUAGUCCAUGGCCUGAGCAGCCAUGGAUUCUGGUGGACUUGGGGUUGAAAGUGUUAGAGGACGAUUAGUGUUUUGAGAGAGUUUGAGAGGAUAGGGGAGUUAG